This 400-nucleotide ribosomal RNA is filed under the name uncultured microorganism. RNAcentral describes it as "bacterial SSU rRNA". It matches the Rfam family "Bacterial small subunit ribosomal RNA", at positions 9 to 406 of the family's 1533-position model. The record is from RNAcentral.
GAGUUUGAUCGUGGCUCAGAUUGAACGCUGGCGGCAUGCCUUACACAUGCAAGUCGAACGGCAGCAUGAUCUAGCUUGCUAGAUUGAUGGCGAGUGGCGAACGGGUGAGUAAUACAUCGGAACGUGCCCUGUAGUGGGGGAUAACUAGUCGAAAGAUUAGCUAAUACCGCAUACGACCUGAGGGUGAAAGUGGGGGACCGCAAGGCCUCAUGCUAUAGGAGCGGCCGAUGUCUGAUUAGCUAGUUGGUGGGUAAAGGCCCACCAAGGCGACGAUCAGUAGCUGGUCUGAGAGGACGAUCAGCCACACUGGGACUGAGACACGGCCCAGACUCCUACGGGAGGCGAGCAGUGGGAAUUUGGACAAUGGGCGAAAGCCUAGAUCCAGCAAUGCCGCGUGUGU